UCCUUCGUUUAGAUAAAUUUUAAAGUGAAACAGAGAAUGGAAGCCAAAUAUUUAAAAUUUAGAUUAAUUGAAAUAGCCUCCCCUCUUAAAAAAAAAUAUAGAACAAAUUUUAACAGAAAAAAGGGGGACAGAAACCUAAAGAUACAGAAUUAAAAUAAAGUGAUAAAAAGAUCCUCCGUCCUUUUCUAAACUUCUUUUUAAAGUUUUAAAUUUGGUAAAUUAGAUGUUCCCUGAAUUUAGAGUAUCCAUGGGAACAUGUCCCAUUUUUACCAGAAAUUAAUAUACCCAUAGGAACAUUACGGUACAUGUUCCUCUCCAAAGUAAUAAAGGUAUUCAUUGGAACAUCACAUGUUCCUCUCCAAAGUAAUGAAGGUAUCCAUAGGAACAUCACAUGUUCCGCUCCAAAGUAAUGAAGGUAUCCAUAGGAACAUCACAUGUUCCUCUCCAAAGUAAUAAAGGUAUCCAUAGGAACAUCACAUGUUCCUCUCCAAAGUAAUGAAGGUAUCCAUUGGAACAUCACAUGUUCCUCUCCAAAGUAAUGAAGGUAUCCAUAGGAACAUCACAUGUUCCUCUCCAAAGUAAUGAAGGUAUCCAUAGGAACAUCACAUGUUCCCCUCCAAAGUAAUGAAGGUAUCCAUAGGAACAUCACAUGUUCCUCUCCAAAGUAAUGAAGGUAUCCAUUGGAACAUCACAUGUUCCUCUCCAAAGUAAUGAAGGUAUCCAUAGGAACAUCACAUGUUCCUCUCCAAAGUAAUGAAGGUAUCCAUUGGAACAUCACAUGUUCCCGUCCAAAGUAAUAAAGGUAUCCAUUGGAACAUCACAUGUUCCUGUCCAAAGUAAUGAAGGUAUCCAUAGGAACAUCACAUGUUCCUCUCCAAAGUAAUGAAGGUAUCCAUUGGAACAUCACAUGUUCCUCUCCAAAGUAAUGAAGGUAUCCAUAGGAACAUCACAUGUUCCUCUCCAAAGUAAUGAAGGUAUCCAUAGGAACAUCACAUGUUCCGCUCCAAAGUAAUGUUCCGCUCCAAAGUAAUAAAGGUAUCCAUAGGAACAUCACAUGUUCCGCUCAAAAGUAAUGAAGGUAUCCAUUGGAACAUCACAUGUUCCUCUCCAAAGUAAUAAAGAUAUCCAUAGGAACAUCACAUGUUCCUCUCCAAAGUAAUGAAGGUAUCCAUAGGAACAUCACAUGUUCCUCUCCAAAGUAAUAAAGGUAUCCAUAGGAACAUCACAUGUUCCUCUCCAAAGUAAUGAAGGUAUCCAUAGGAACAUCACAUGUUCCUCUCCAAAGUAAUAAAGGUAUCCAUAGGAACAUCACAUGUUCCGCUCCAAAGUAAUAAAGGUAUCCACAGUAACAUCCCAUGUGUCUUACCAAUGUAAAUAAGGUAUCCAUAGGAACAUGGGAGCCUCGGUGGCCAAGUGGUCUAAGUAGUUACUACUGUAAUCACUAGCCAGUCAACACUGAGGUUGUGAAUUCAAACCCCGCUCGUGCGGGUGCACAUGACUCCAAUCUUAAUUGACUUAGGGUUGUCAGUUUUCCUAUUGAAGGUCAGUGGUUUUCUCCAGGCACUCUGGCUUCCUCCACCAAUACAAACUGGCCGCCAUGAAAUAGCCAAAGUAGUGCUUAAAAGUGGCGUUAAAACACCAAAAAAUCAAAUUCAAAUCCAUAGAUGCACUGCAUGCUCCAAAUUUACUGGUAUCUGAUAUCCAUUGGAAUCCAAAUUUAGUUGUUCAGUUUGUAUUGAUGACAGAAUUGGCUUUACAAUGAACUUUGAACUCAAAGAAAUGGAUACACAUGUUUCAGAAAAGUAAGUUUGGUACCUAUAUCUCUUUUCACACUUUUGUUGUUUUUAAAUAAUUUGUAAAUUUUAUUGUAAAUGUAACAUAUUUAAGUUGUCAAAUUUUUGUGUAAAAAGGGGAAUGACCAUUUCAAAACUGUUUUUCAAUAUUUUUGUUAAAAGAUUUUCAGAAGGAAACAGAAAAAUUAUUUAUAAAAAUGUGGAUAGUGUCAAAUGUGUAUAUAGUUUUAAGAAAAAUAGAAAAAAACAAAAAAAUGCAUGGGUGAUGGUUUUUAAUGAUUUUAAGAAAAAUAGAAGAAAAAAAAAAUAUGCAUGGGUGAUGGUUUUUAAUGAUUUUAAGAAAAAUAGAAAAAAAAAAAAAAAAAAAAAAUA
Long non-coding RNA from Mytilus californianus (California mussel), 2165 nucleotides. RefSeq lists it as uncharacterized. The record is from RefSeq and is a predicted model, not a curated record. Lineage: Eukaryota; Metazoa; Mollusca; Bivalvia; Mytilida; Mytilidae. The transcript is spliced from 7 exons.